CAGUUCUCGACUGUGAGCAGUGUUCCUUCGAUCCUGUUAUUCGAAAGAUCGACCAGCGAUAGAUUCCCGCUGCUGCACAGCCUCGGAGGUAAGCCUCCGGAGAACCUGUUGUUGGAAGCAUUUAACACACGUAGAUCGCUCGUCAUUCCCAGCGCAGGUGGCAAAGGCCCUUGAAACCGAUUCCCCGAGAGACUCAACACGGACAAGCUGGAAAGGAGACCGAUCCGCAGCGGCAGCUCACCUGUGAAACUGUUGAGAGACAAAUCCAGCGCGUCCAGCGUCACCAUCGCCCCAAACGAAUCCGGUACGCUUCCUGUUAUGUUGUUGGAGCUCAAGUUGAGUGACAGCAUUUGCCUCCAGGUGCUUCCCAGGCCCAGCGGCAAUUCUCCCGACAACCUGUUACGCGAGACGUCGAGGCUGGAGAGGCUGGAGAGGCUGCCAAGCUCCACCGGAAGGCUCCCGGUGAAGUUGCAACUCGACGCCUGGAACUCGUUCAAGUUGACGAGCCGGCCAAGCUCGCUUGGAAUCUGCCCCUGGAACAAGUUACGGUUGAUGGUCAGCCGCUUGAGCGCAAUGCAGCCUCCGAGCUCCCUUGGAAGCGGCCCGGAAAGUCUGUUGUUAUACAGCGCCAAGUGCGUGAGCCGCUGGAGCCUGCCAAUCGUAGCCGGGACGCCACCUCGAAGACGGUUGUUAUAAACUUGGAAGAACGUGAGCGACGAGCAGUUCCCGAUCUCGCUGGGGAUGAAACCAUCCAGCUCGU
Molecule: long non-coding RNA, 760 nt
Filed under: Selaginella moellendorffii
Lineage: Eukaryota; Viridiplantae; Streptophyta; Lycopodiopsida; Selaginellales; Selaginellaceae
Description: long non-coding RNA (SMOE_LNC001021)
Source: RNAcentral